Sorghum bicolor (sorghum) is the source of this 428-nucleotide long non-coding RNA. RefSeq lists it as uncharacterized. The record is from RefSeq and is a predicted model, not a curated record. The transcript has 2 exons. NCBI's taxonomy places the organism in Eukaryota, Viridiplantae, Streptophyta, Magnoliopsida, Poales, Poaceae.
UUCCUCGGCUCCUCAAACGGCUAGAGCAGACAAGCCAGUCGCGACUCGCGAGUGAGGAGGCACUGAGGCCGCCGGUUUGCUGCCGCCCGCGGAAUUCCUGCGUCGCGCCACGCUGCUUUCCUCCCACCGUAUCUGAGCUCCUCAUCCUUUUCUCUUCAUGGCGGGGGUGGGGAUCUGCCUGGCCAGGCUCGUCGUCGAUCCCCUGCUCCUCUCCGCUCAGCAGAUCGACGCGCGGUGGGCAUCUGCCGGGGGUUUUGUUAUCUCCUCGUUUUAGUUGAUAAGAAAUUCUGGAGGGUUCAGUUCAUCCCACGGAGAUGCAUGAUUGCGGGGCGGGAGGUCCGGGAUUUUGUCGAGGGGUGGUACUGGAGGCGCCUGGAGUUUUGAUUUGUUUCGUUUGGAGAGACUGGAAACUAGACCAUUUUCGGUGA